Felis catus (domestic cat) is the source of this 85-nucleotide transfer RNA. It matches the Rfam family "tRNA". Rfam says of the family: Transfer RNA (tRNA) molecules are approximately 80 nucleotides in length. Lineage: Eukaryota; Metazoa; Chordata; Mammalia; Carnivora; Felidae. The record is from Rfam.
GCCUGGGAGGCUCAGUCAGUUGAGUGUCUGACUUCGGCUCAGGUCAUGAUCUCUCAGCUUGUGGGUUCAAGCCCCGCAUCGGGCU